This 404-nucleotide ribosomal RNA is filed under the name uncultured bacterium. RNAcentral's name for it is "bacterial SSU rRNA". It matches the Rfam family "Bacterial small subunit ribosomal RNA", at positions 356 to 776 of the family's 1533-position model. The record is from RNAcentral.
GGGGAAUAUUGCACAAUGGGGGAAACCCUGAUGCAGCGACGCCGCGUGAGCGAAGAAGUAUUUCGGUAUGUAAAGCUCUAUCAGCAGGGAAGAAAAAUGACGGUACCUGACUAAGAAGCAACGGCUAACUACGUGCCAGCAGCCGCGGUAAUACGUAGGUUGCAAGCGUUAUCCGGAUUUACUGGGUGUAAAGGGAGCGUAGACGGUGAUGCAAGUCUGGAGUGAAAGCCCGGGGCUCAACCCCGGGACUGCUUUGGAAACUGUGUGACUGGAGUGUCGGAGAGGCAGGCGGAAUUCCUAGUGUAGCGGUGAAAUGCGUAGAUAUUAGGAGGAACACCAGUGGCGAAGGCGGCCUGCUGGACGAUGACUGACGUUGAGGCUCGAAAGCGUGGGGAGCAAACAGG